RNAcentral lists this ribosomal RNA (253 nucleotides) under uncultured bacterium. Its description in RNAcentral is "partial 16S ribosomal RNA". It matches the Rfam family "Bacterial small subunit ribosomal RNA", at positions 524 to 776 of the family's 1533-position model. The record is from RNAcentral.
UACAGAGGUCUCAAGCGUUGUUCGGAUUCAUUGGGCGUAAAGGGUGCGUAGGCGGCGCGGUAAGUCGGGUGUGAAAUCUCGGGGCUCAACCCCGAGCGGUCGUGAGAAACUGGCAGGCUAGAGUGCGGGAGGGGAGAGUGGAAUUCCUGGUGUAGCGGUGAAAUGCGCAGAUAUCAGGAAGAACACCCGUGGCGAAGGCGGCUCUCUGGAACGCAACUGACGCUGAGACGCGAAAGCGUGGGGAGCAAACAGG